This is a long non-coding RNA of Brassica napus (rape), 4603 nucleotides long. RefSeq lists it as uncharacterized. NCBI's taxonomy places the organism in Eukaryota, Viridiplantae, Streptophyta, Magnoliopsida, Brassicales, Brassicaceae. The record is from RefSeq and is a predicted model, not a curated record. The transcript has 3 exons.
AACAUUAUCAGCACAUUUGAACACUUCUUAUGGGCGAUCCUUAUCCAAUAUUGGCCCAAAAUUAAAUAUAAAGUCCAGGAGACGAUUUUUAGGUAAGAAGUUUUUUGACUUCGUUCUUCUGUCACGUGUCAUUCUAUACGUUCUUCUCCGUCUCCCUCUUCUCUCUCUCUCUCUCUCUCUCGAUCCGUAGACGGCGAUUCGCUGGAAGAAUCAUCGAUCCAUCGAUCAAUCGUUUAAUCUCGGCAUCGAAUCUGCACCAGGUCCGCGGAGUUUGGGUUUAGGGUUUCAUCGUCUCUUCCUUCUCUCGCUGUCGACGGGUACUUCCGCCGCCGUCGUCUAUUCUCGUCCAUCUCGCCUCUCUUCUUUCUCCGGUUGGAGACCAUCUCUGCCGCCGUCACCAACAGGUUUAAUUCGUAAAAAUGGGCCGAUAUAGUUACAGCCAGCCUUCAGAUUCAUCACACUAUAGUAGGGAUGAAGCUGAUAGUGGGUACAACGAGACAGAAGAGCUUAUUGGUCGUGACCAAGCUGAGUUGGAGUUGAAGUAUCCUGAGCCGUCUCAAUAUCCUACGCAGUAUCCUCCACAACCUGAGGUGGAGUUUGGAUUCCCCCAGGUUUGCUAUUGUGGUGAUGCACCAAUUCUAGCUACAUCAAAAAAUGAUCCGGGGAGGAGGGUAUACACCUGCAAGAAUGUGGAUGAUGGCGAUUGCCAUGUCUGGAAGUUUUGGGACGUCGCGGUGAUGGAGGAGAUAAGGGCGAGGGAUAAACACAUUCUGCAGUUGGAGGAAAAGGUAGAUAACCUUACCUUAAUGAGUAACUUUGAGUCUGAGGAAAAGGUGGUUAGGCUAGAGAACUUAGUUUCUGACUUGGCAAAGAAGUCAUUUACUUUAAAAAUUGAGUUUGAAGUUUGUGUUGGUGUCAUGCUCUUUGUAUUAGUGGUACUUGGUCUGGUGAUCGGAGGGAAGUGAUGUUGGUGUUAACAGCAUUACUAGGUCUGGUUUAGGAAGUUUGUGUUGGUGUCAUGCUCUUUGUCUUAGUCGUACUAAUGCUGUUAACCCUUAUGAGACUAUGUACUAAUGUGUUGUAUUGUUAUGAACUUUAUGAUUUACAAAUGUGUUGUAUUGUAAUUGUUUAUGCCUCCACUCCAUGUAUAAGCCAACUGUUCACAUAAAAAUAAUUAAAAUGUGACUUUGAAACAACAACUACUUGUCUCGUGAACCACUUUAAACAACAUAAUAAUUCAAAGGUACAACAUAAUAAUUCAAAGGUGUAAGAGUCACAUGAGUUGUUUUUUUCUUCCACAACAAAACAAUAUACAUUCACAAGUUGUAUCAGGAGAACACAAUAUACAUUCACAAGUUGUAUCACGAGAAGAUCUUAUUUGCCCCUAUAAAUAUGAAAGAUCAUUGGCAAUUUAAAGACAUCCCUCCCCUUUCAUCAACUCUUCAUUUUAAAUGUAAAAAAACUCUAAUGACAUCUUCUUCUCAUUAUCACUACCAUAACGAUGACGAUGAUGAAGAUUAUGUUAAUGAUUACGUUGAAGAUUAUGUUAAUGAUUACGUUCAAAACUUUGAUGAAGAACCAAAAGAGCGGAAGCAACGUAUUUAUAUGGAGAGGCACCGAGAAGACGGCCACCAGAUGCUCUGGAAUGAUUACUUUUGCGAGACUUCAACUUAUAAUGUUCAAUUAUUCCGGCGACGGUUUCGAAUGAACAAAUCAUUGUUCCUGCGUAUUGUGAAUCAUCUCACAACCAACAUACCGUAUUUUCAACUAGGCAAAGAUUGUACCGGACGGUCUAGUCUAACACCCCUACAAAAAUGUACUGCAGCAAUUUGACAGUUGGCAUAUGGCGGUGCAGCUGAUUCACUUGAUGAGUAUGUCCGGCUUGCUGAAACGACAGCUCGGAAAUGUUUGCACAAUUUUACCGCCGGAAUAAUCAGCUUGUUUGGUGAUGAAUACCUCCGCCGUCCAACACAUGAGGACCUGCAAAGACUUCUCUAUAUAGGAGAACAACGUGGAUUUCCGGGGAUGGUUGGCAGCAUCGACUGUAUGCAUUGGGAGUGGAAGAAUUGCCCCACUGCUUGGAAAGGAAUGUAUUCACGAGGAACCGAAAAACCAACAAUUGUUUUGGAGGCGGUAGCUUCAAGUGACCUCUGGAUAUGGCACGCAUUUUUUGGAGCUCCAGGUACUAUGAACGAUCUUAAUAUUCUCGAUCGAUCACCCGUUUUUGAUGACAUUAUUAACGGAAUAGCGCCACAAGUGAACUUCUGUGUUAAUGGUAAUCCAUACCAUUUGGCAUAUUAUCUCACUGAUGGUAUUUAUCCGAAAUGGGCGACUUUUAUUCAAUCUAUCCGACUUCCACAAAGUGAGAAACAUUCGUUAUUUGCUAAAACCCAAGAAGCUGUUCGAAAAGAUGUGGAGCGUGCCUUCGGAGUUCUGCAAGCUAGAUUUGCCGUAGUGAAAAAUCCAUCUAAGUUAUGGGAUAAAGAAAAAAUAGCAAAUAUUAUGAAAGCAUGCAUCAUACUCCAUAAUAUGAUUGUCGAGGAUGAACGUUCAACAUUCACUCAGUAUAACGAGAGAGAAUUUCAAGAAAGCGAAGAAGAGGAUACAUUCACCGUUACUCCGAAUUCAAAUCUCGGCACUGCAAUGGAUCGUCGAUCGAGCGUUCGUAACAGACAAGCCCAUGAACAAUUAAAAUUCGAUUUGAUUGAAAAUAUUUGGGCAAAAUUUGGACAUCUUCCAAAAAACCAAUGAUUUUUAAGUUUUUGUGAAUUGAAUAAAAUGUGUGUUAGCUAUUAUUUUUAAUUUUUUUUUAAAUGGAAUGUAAUAAAAUGUUUGUAAUUUUAAUUUAAUGAAAUAAAAAGUUUUUUUUUUAAUGUAUUGAAUAUAAAUGGAUAUAUCUUAAUUACUAUUUAUAAAUAAAAAUAAUAUUUUUAACCUAAGAACCUUCGAAAAGUUCUAUUGAUAAUGUAGUAUUUUAGUUAAGUAUCUUACAAAACUUCUUAGACUAAAAAUAGUCAUUAAAUAUUCUAAGAUGUUUGCUAAGAGUUGACAUUGAUAAUGUUGCUCUUAGAGCACCAUUAUCAGGGGCUCUUAAAGCCUGUAUUUAAUGUUUUCAGAUUUAAAAAAAAAAAAAUUAGGUAAUUAAAGAGGAGACGUCGCUUAAUUAAGCCACACAAGAGACGGGUUUUGUGAACACGUGUCAUUAUCUCAUCCCUCCCUCUCUCUUUCGUGUCUCCUAGGCGACUCCGAAUCCAUCUGCUGCUCCUCCACGAUGACCUAUCCGCGACGACUCCGCCUCCAUCAACCGGCGACUCCGACGAUGACCUCUCCGCGACGACUCCGACGCCAUCAGCCGACUCAGAGACUCACUUCUCGUCAACCUCACGUUUUCCUCCGCCGCCGCGUCUUCUUCGCACACAGGUUUCAAAACUCUCAUCUGAUUCUUUACCAAAAGUGAUCGUUUCCUUGUGGCCAGAGUAGUUUGGAGAACUCUUUGCAAGCUUGGGGCUCGGUCGCAUAAUCGAUUGUAACACCCCGAUUUUUUGUGGAUUCAGUUUAUUUUUGGAUAUAUGAGGAUCUUGACUUAAAUCUAAAAUCUCAUUUAAAUCCAAUUGAAUAAAAGAUUAAAACGAGGAUAGCAACCCAAAAAAGAGAAAGAAGUUAAAGAGAAAAAGGAGAAGAACGUGAGAUGGAGAAAGGUGAACUAGAGAAGAAGGAAACAAAGGUGGAGAAGAAGAAGUACACAGUUUGAGAUGGAGUUUCGAAAGAGAGAUCCGGAUCAGAUAUGAGUUUGGGAAAUCACAUAUGGAUUUUCUCUUAAUAGAGGACGUGGCAGGGAAGCCAUAGAAACUGACGUCUCUGUCAUUGGAGUAAUGACUUCGUUGUGGUGUGCCUUGCUUCCUACGCAAGCAUCAGAAGUAGCAGCUCAAAUCUGGGAGGUUCAACUGUUCUGUCGCAGCAAUUUCAAGAAAGCGUGGGAGGUUCAUUUGUAUGCUGAUCUGACUGAAACUUUGAAACUUUGUAUAGAUCUAGGGGACACUGCAGACUCAGAAUUCAACGGUGUGAUCGAAAAGUGGACGGUCAGUUUAUUAGUUAUUCAUGUAUUUCUGAACCGGUUUGGUACAUUGUGAAACAGAGUGGUAUGUUGAUGGAUCGUCAUGUUUGGUUGGGAAAAUGAGCUCGGACUGAGCUCAUAUUUGGCAGGAACCUUAUGGACUCGUGGAUAUAUGUUCAACUAUAAGGAGAGAGGGUCUGGAGUUCGGGAACAUGGAAAACGAGCGGUACAACGGAUAUGUCCAAAGUUGAGAAAAUGAAAACUUGUCGUCAAGUGGCUAAGGUGAGGGAUUUAUGGGAGCAUAGUUCAUAUUUUUCUGUUAUACUACAUGAGUUAUAUUAUGUAGGCUUAGAUCUGAUUGUUAUUUAGGAAUUCUAUGAUUAUAUGAUUAUAUGGUGAAGGUUGCAAAGUGUGUUACACUUAAUAAGGUUAACUUUACUUGCUAUCUCCUUGGACUUGUUAUUAGUGAAAUUGUUAUAGGGAACAUUGUUUUGAGAUGGUUAAGCUUUCUCAUUUGCUUGUCUAGUGUAUUGGUCUAUUCCUUGGUUU